GUAGGUGGCAAGCGUUGUCCGGAAUUAUUGGGCGUAAAGCGCGCGCAGGCGGUUCUUUAAGUCUGAUGUGAAAGCCCACGGCUCAACCGUGGAGGGUCAUUGGAAACUGGAGAACUUGAGUACAGAAGAGGAAAGCGGAAUUCCACGUGUAGCGGUGAAAUGCGUAGAGAUGUGGAGGAACACCAGUGGCGAAGGCGGCUUUCUGGUCUGUAACUGACGCUGAGGCGCGAAAGCGUGGGGAGCAAACAGGAUUAGAUACCCUGGUAGUCCACGCCGUAAACGAUGAGUGCUAAGUGUUAGGGGGUUUCCGUCCCCUUAGUGCUGCAGCUAACGCAUUAAGCACUCCGCCUGGGAGUACGGCCGCAAGGCUG
Molecule: ribosomal RNA, 371 nt
Filed under: uncultured organism
Description: partial 16S ribosomal RNA
Rfam family: Bacterial small subunit ribosomal RNA
Source: RNAcentral